Molecule: ribosomal RNA, 468 nt
Filed under: uncultured bacterium
Lineage: Bacteria
Description: partial 16S ribosomal RNA
Rfam family: Bacterial small subunit ribosomal RNA
Source: RNAcentral
GACGAACGCUGGCGGCGUGCUUAACACAUGCAAGUCGAACGGAAAGGCCCUGCUUUUGUGGGGUGCUCGAGUGGCGAACGGGUGAGUAACACGUGAGUAACCUGCCCUUGACUUUGGGAUAACUUCAGGAAACUGGGGCUAAUACCGGGUAUGAGCUCCUGCUGCAUGGGGGGGGUUGGAAAGUUUCGGCGGUGGGGGAUGUACUCGCGGCUUAUCAGCUUGUUGGUGUGGUAGUGGCUUACCAAGGCUUCGAAGGGUAGCCGGCCUGAGAGGGUGACCGGCCACAUUGGGACUGAGAUACGGCCCAGACUCCUACGGGAGGCAACAGUGGGGAAUAUUGCACAAUGGGCGGAAGCCUGAUGCAGCAACGCCGCGUGCGGGAUGACGGCCUUCGGGUUGUAAACCGAUUUCGCCUGUGACGAAGCGUGAGUGACGGUAAUGGGUAAAGAAGCACCGGCUAACUACGUG